This 573-nucleotide ribosomal RNA is filed under the name Aspergillus niger. RNAcentral describes it as "eukaryotic LSU rRNA". The stretch from base 187 to 340 matches the Rfam family "5.8S ribosomal RNA". Lineage: Eukaryota; Fungi; Ascomycota; Eurotiomycetes; Eurotiales; Aspergillaceae. The record is from RNAcentral.
GCCGGGGGGGUCCUUUGGGGCCCAACCUCCCAUCCGUGUCUAUUGUACCCUGUUGCUUCGGCGGGCCCGCCGCUUGUCGGCCGCCGGGGGGGCGCCUCUGCCCCCCGGGCCCGUGCCCGCCGGAGACCCCAACACGAACACUGUCUGAAAGCGUGCAGUCUGAGUUGAUUGAAUGCAAUCAGUUAAAACUUUCAACAAUGGAUCUCUUGGUUCCGGCAUCGAUGAAGAACGCAGCGAAAUGCGAUAACUAAUGUGAAUUGCAGAAUUCAGUGAAUCAUCGAGUCUUUGAACGCACAUUGCGCCCCCUGGUAUUCCGGGGGGCAUGCCUGUCCGAGCGUCAUUGCUGCCCUCAAGCCCGGCUUGUGUGUUGGGUCGCCGUCCCCCUCUCCGGGGGGACGGGCCCGAAAGGCAGCGGCGGCACCGCGUCCGAUCCUCGAGCGUAUGGGGCUUUGUCACAUGCUCUGUAGGAUUGGCCGGCGCCUGCCGACGUUUUCCAACCAUUCUUUCCAGGUUGACCUCGGAUCAGGUAGGGAUACCCGCUGAACUUAAGCAUAUCAAUAGGCGGGAGGAAUU